AGGCCCGGCACAGUCUCAGUUCCCCACAGCACAGAGAGGAAGCAAGGUCUUUGCAUGCCCUGUUCACUUGGCCAAACAUUGCCCUAGAUGUGCAAUUCAACCCGUAUAAAGCAAGCGUAAUUCAAGAGCCCUGACUCUUUCACCAUUUCAUGAUGGCUUAUUACUCGCACACAGCAUUGUCAGGUUCCAGCAACUCUGUGUGCAGCAGGCAGAAAUGCAGUGUUUAUCUCUGACAGGCAAACAUUCUUAGGCUCAUCGGCAUGAGUAUCCACGCUGAACUGGCUAUCGGGGAAGUAGAUCCCUGCAUGGGAAAGUCAAGUAUCCCCACUGUGUAGAGCUUGUCCACAAUGGAGAGGAGGAAAAGUUUUGCAUUGGACCAAAUCACUGCCUUAGCAGGAAAGAGAUUGCAAUCCCAUUCAUUUUUAAGAUCUGCAAUGGGUUGGGAUGAUACCCAUUUAAAAAAGAAAAAAAAGAGUUUACCUCUUUGGCCUCUUUGGCAAAGGAUAUGAACUAGUAAUAAAGCCUCAGCAUCAAGGCUUGGGAGUCUGGCUCAAAGUGGCUAAGACUAGAAGCAUCUUCUAACAUAAAUAUGGCAGCAUUAGGAAAAUAGCUUGAUCUUUAGAGAGACCCAGAUUAUCUUCACCUUAAAAGCUACCAAGACCCUGGUCCAGCAAGACUACCAUCACAGCAGUAAAUACAUAGCCACCAACUUCACCGAAGGUUUUCCACUGAGACAUUGUGAAAACCACAAUCCAUUACCGGUGGAUGAGUCCCAGCUCUCUUACUACCUGGGGUUUCCAAGCAAGACUUACCUGUCCUUUGUUCCGGAUUGGUUCCUGGGAUCCUGGACCAACACAAAGAGAAGAGGAAAGCCUCAAGGGAAAUAAAAGUGAAGGUUUCAGUGAUAGUUUAAAUAUAUAUUUUUAAAUGUUAGCUUUUUUUUAAAUACUUCACGGUGAUGGAUGGAGUAUUUCAACCACAAUGGCAAAGAAUGAAUUACCGGCAGUGUCAGAGUUUCUUGUUGCUGUGGGAAGACAGCUGCCAUGUUGAGAGGUGCCUGGUGGAGAGGCUCAUGUGGUGAGGAACUGAGACUGGCUUCUAUCCAACAACCAGUGAGGAACUAAGGCCCUAAAGUCCUAUAGUCCACAAGGAACUAAAUCCUACCAACAACCACAUGAGUGAGCCUGGAAUCUGAUUUUCCCCAGUGGGGACUUAAGGUACCUACAACCUGGCUGUUAUGGGCUAAACUGCAUCCUGCCCAAAUUUAUAUGUUUGAGUCUUAACUCCCAGCACUUCAGAACAUGGUUUUGUUUGGAGACAUAGUCAUUAAAGAGGUAAUGAAGUUAAAAUGAGGUCAUUAGGAUGAGUCCUAAUCCAAUAGGACUGGUGUGAUUAUAUGAAGAGGAAAUUUGAACACAGACACAUAUAGAGGAAAGACCAUGCGAAGAAGACACAGAGAGGAAACGGCCAUCUACAAUCCAAGGAGAGAGGCCUCAGAACAAGCCAACCCUGCAGAUACCUUGAUCUAGGCAUCCAGAAUUGUAUGAAAAUACAUUUUUGUUAUUUAAGCUACCCAGUCUGUGGUGCUUUGUUAUGGCAAUCCCAGAAAACUAAUUAACUAAGUGACUGCAGCCUUGCAAGGGACCCUGAACCAGAGGACCCAGUUAAGCCAUGUGCAGAUUCCUGACUCACAGAACUAGGAGAUAACAAAUGUUUGUUGCUCUAAGGUGCUAAAUGUUGGGAAAAUAUGGAUGCUAUGCUCUGAUGUUUGCAGAGGCCAGGAAAUUCUUGCUCUGAGAGUUCCAGAAAAAAAGAUUUGUCCAGAUUUGAACUAAUUUCAGAAAAACAAAACAAAAACAAAAAACCAUCCAAGGUUAAGAGGUGACUUCUGACUCACAGAAUGAACAAGAAGGCAGGGGAAAAAAAUAAAUCCCCCAAGAUUCAGGUCAAAGGAAAUGAACAGAAGGAUGAUGGAGUGGCCCAGAGGAGGAUCACGUGACAGAAAAGUCAAGAUAAAUUAGUGGCAGGACAGAGGAAAAUAACUAAAGACCUGCAGGAUCCUGAAAGAAAGAAUGAAAGGAAGCAGAUGAAGAUUCUAGAGCCCAGCUGAAUAGCCAGGCUGCCUGAGGGUAAAGAGGGAGAGAAAGAGGAAGCAGUGAAUCAAAUCAAAGAAGGAUAGAAAAAUACAGAGAAACAAGCCAGGGCGCGGUGGCUCUCACCUGUAAUCCCAGCACUUUGGGAGGACAAGGAAGGCGGAUCACAUGAGGCCAGGAAUUUGAGACCACCCUGGCCAACAUGGCAAAACCCUGUCUCUACUAGAAAAAUAUGGAGGAAUGUUUGAGAGAUUGUGCACUGCCAGGGGUGAGGACAUAAAUUUAUUUGCUAUGUGAAUGUUUUUUGAGACUCAUCUAGUUCCUUUACAAUUUUAAUUUAGAAUUUCUUUAACUCCAAAUCAGGAUCAUUAGCUGGGAGUUCUUAUAAAUCAAAAGCAAAACAAAGCUAUUGCAAACAAGUGAGAGUUCUCAUAACCUUAAUCAGAAAGGCUUGAGUUGCAUUUCCAAAUCCUGUCUCUAGAGACCGCGAGUUUUUAAUGAUAGUAUUUCCAUGAAAGCCCAAUUGAAUACAAUCACCACCCAGACCAAAGUGUAGGGGAAAUCAUAAAGUUACUUUCAAAUCCGAGUCUUCUUUGAAAUUUAAAAUUAUAUUCCAUGAUAAUGGUUCUCAUAAACCUUAAUGCAAGGGAAAAAAAAAACUACAGCAGAAUAAAGAAGAUUUAAAAAGAAGCAGGAUAGGAAAAAAGACAAGCCAGAGGCUGGCUAUAUCUUUUCAUAAAGCACACCAGGUCUCAUAAGCACAUGAGAGCUAGGCCCAGAAGUUUCGAGCCUUGGAGACUCACUUCAAACAAAUUCCAGGGAAAGACACUCAAUUAAGUGUUCAGGACAAUUGUAUAUCCCCAGUGCACUCAUGUACUGGAAGUGCUUAAACUCUGCCCUCAGUGGUCAAUAAAAUGGUAUUAAGUCACAGACAACCCAUUGCCAUUGGUAUUGGCUGAUGUCUCUGGUAGUUUAUGUGAUGACAAACAUUAGCCUUAACAGCAGAGCCUUCCUUUCUUUGAUUUCCAUGUGAAAUUCUGUGGCUGGGAGAUGUUUAUGUUCACAUGAACAUAACUGUAAGCAAACCAUCUUAUGGUAGACAUCUCUCCAGAAAAAGCAAAUUCCAUCUUUUUAAAUAGAAAAAAAACAGCAGCAAAAUGAAAUUAAUGCCUUUGGCUCAUUGUGUUGUAAAAUUAUCCUUGAAGUUACUUCACACUGCCCUAAAAAAUCAUUGAAUUCAGAUUAUAACACAGCUCUUAUGAAGCUGUUAGGCAGUUGCAUCUUUAAUGAGGCUGAGUAGGUAAGAGGAACAGAUACUCUAGAUUGAAAGCCAUCUCAAAAAAUGUGAAACAACUGUAUUAAAUUUAAUUUAAUUUAACCAAUGGGUGUAUUUAUUCCCUGCCUUCUUCCAGAAAGGAUUUAGGGAGCUUAGGUAAUGUGGAGGUCUGAAGGUGUAGAUACUCAUGAAAGCCUCAGAUUAAUAUCUAGAACAUAUAACGUGUCCAGAUAGUUUUCAAUUAUCAAUGCAUUAAUCUAAGCUUGGAAAGGACUUUUAAACUGCAAUGAAACCUCAACUAGUUUCAAACCUGCAUUUUUUAGUAAGCUAUUUUGUCAUUUGGAGACCCACACAAAAAACCUAUUGUUCCUUUAAAAAGGAGAGAGAGAAAAAAAGAAAAACAACCUGCUGGUGUUGCUUUGUUCAUCUUAUCACCUUAUCAUGCAGCAGCCUAUUCAGGAUCAAAUGUGGGAAAGUCUGUGUGUGAGAUUAAGCCCUAUACUCAGCACAGGAAUUUCUUGGAUAAAUGUCUUUCUUAAAUGGAUAGCUAUGUAAAAAACAGAAGAGAAACUCUAUUAUUACAAUGCAGUUGGGUUUUUUUGUUCUGUAUGUUUCAAAUCUAAUAUUUAAAAUUAAGAAAAUUCAAAGCAAACCAUCUGUGUGGAUGUUUUCAUACUCCAUUUUUGUGACAAUAGCCUGCUUAACCGAGAUUAUUAGUGGAUUCUUUCAAUAAGAGGAAGAGAGUAACAUCAUUAAGAUGGUAUGCCUCCACUAUCCUUUUUUUUUUUUUUGAGAUUAAAGAGUGACAAAAA
Molecule: long non-coding RNA, 4181 nt
Organism: Pan troglodytes (chimpanzee)
Lineage: Eukaryota; Metazoa; Chordata; Mammalia; Primates; Hominidae
Exons: 3
Source: RefSeq, a predicted model, not a curated record